RNAcentral lists this long non-coding RNA (309 nucleotides) under Nicotiana benthamiana. Its description in RNAcentral is "long non-coding RNA (NBEN_LNC002106)". Lineage: Eukaryota; Viridiplantae; Streptophyta; Magnoliopsida; Solanales; Solanaceae. The record is from RNAcentral.
AACAAUAAGAUGUGUUGAAUAAUUGUAAAGGGGUUUAUACUGGAUGGAAAGUUUUCUAAAGGUGUCGCCUCCCAUUAGCAUGCCUGUGAUAUUUCUGUAUUCUGCUACUACAAAGCAGCACCCCUUCCUUCAUACUUGGUGCUUUAGUCUUCUUUGGCUUGAUUAAUAACAUGUUGCACAUGGAUAGAAAAAAUAGGUAGGUCAUGUUUCACCGGUUUUUGUUUGAGUUCAAUCGACAGAAAACAGGGAAGAAAACGUUGUCAUGUCAAGGUCCACUUACACUAAGACUAACUCGUUAAAAUUGUUGGC